This 440-nucleotide ribosomal RNA is filed under the name uncultured bacterium. RNAcentral's name for it is "partial 16S ribosomal RNA". It matches the Rfam family "Bacterial small subunit ribosomal RNA", at positions 338 to 795 of the family's 1533-position model. The record is from RNAcentral.
CCUACGGGUGGCUGCAGUGGGGAAUAUUGCACAAUGGGGGAAACCCUGAUGCAGCGACGCCGCGUGAGCGAUGAAGUAGCUCAGUAUCUAAAGCUCUAUCAGCAGGGAAGCAGAUGACGGCACCUGACUAAGAAUCCCCGUCUAAGUACGUGCCAGCAGCCGCGGUAAUACGUAGGGGGCAAGCGUUAUCCGGAUUUACUGGGUGUAAUGGGGGCGUAGACGGCGCUGGAAGGCCGGUGUGAAAGCCCGGGGCUCAAACCCGGGACUGCCUUUGGAACUGUGUGGCUGGAGUGUCGGAGAGGGAGGCGGAAUGCCCGGUGUAGCGGUGAAAUGCGUAGAUAUUGGGAGGAACACCAGUGGCGAAGGCGGCCUGCUGGACCCUGACUGACGUUGAGGCUCGAAAGCGUGGGGAGCAAACAGGAUUAGAUACCCUAGUAGUC